AGAUCAAGUUUGAAUUUUGGUUGGGUCACUUUAACCAUUCUUGAGUUAUGCCCCUUUAUCUUUUUUAGCCAUGGCAUUGUCUCUUUGUUUUUCGACACGAGUUUAAAUGUCUCCCUGGUAUCUUCGCCCCUCUUUCACAACAAUGAAUGAUGUACUCUUGGAAACAAUGCAAACACUUGUUGUGUCAGGAGACAAUCAGAUAAAAUGAUUGCUCUGGGGGUAAAAACAGAAUUAAUCCAGAAAGAAAAUUAUGAACCAGAAAUUCCUAUGGAUGAGUGUUGAUGAAUGCAAAAACAUACAUACCAGAAGAAAAACAAGAAUGUGUCCACAGUACACAAAAGCCCCACUCGCACCAUCAUUUUCUAUGUUCUUUAAGAUUAAAGGUAUCUCAUUGUAGUCAUUUUAAAUGUAGAUAAG
Molecule: long non-coding RNA, 417 nt
Filed under: Mytilus galloprovincialis (Mediterranean mussel)
Lineage: Eukaryota; Metazoa; Mollusca; Bivalvia; Mytilida; Mytilidae
Source: RNAcentral